GCCUGGCUAGCUCAAUCGGUAGAGCACCAGACUCUUAAUCUGGGGGCUACGGGUUCGAGUCCCGUGCUGGGUG
Molecule: transfer RNA, 73 nt
Filed under: Enterocytozoon bieneusi H348
Lineage: Eukaryota; Fungi; Microsporidia; Enterocytozoonidae
Description: tRNA-Lys (CTT) (tRNA-Lys-CTT-1-1)
Rfam family: tRNA
About the family: Transfer RNA (tRNA) molecules are approximately 80 nucleotides in length. Their secondary structure includes four short double-helical elements and three loops (D, anti-codon, and T loops).
Source: Rfam by way of RNAcentral